AGAGGUGGCGAGCGUUGUUCGGAUUUACUGGGCGUAAAGGGUGCGUAGGCGGGUUCGGUAUGUCAGGGCGUGAAAUCUCACCGUCCAACGGUGAAACUGCGUUUGAAACUGCCGGACUAGAGUACAGGAGGGGAGAGCGGAAUUCUCGGUGUAGCGGUGAAAUGCGUAGAUAUCGAGAAGAACACCGGCGGCGAAGGCGGCUCUCUGGACUGAUACUGACGCUGAGGCACGAAAGCUGGGGGAGCGAACAGGAUUAGAUACCCUGGUAGUCCCAGCCGUAAACGGUGUGCACUUGGUGUGGGCGGUCUUGUCCCCGUCCGCGCCGGAGCCAACGUGUUAAGUGCACCGCCUGGGGAGUACGGCCGCAAGGCUA
This 373-nucleotide ribosomal RNA is filed under the name uncultured organism. RNAcentral describes it as "partial 16S ribosomal RNA". It matches the Rfam family "Bacterial small subunit ribosomal RNA", at positions 527 to 896 of the family's 1533-position model. The record is from RNAcentral.